Molecule: ribosomal RNA, 497 nt
Filed under: uncultured bacterium
Lineage: Bacteria
Description: partial 16S ribosomal RNA
Rfam family: Bacterial small subunit ribosomal RNA
Source: RNAcentral
GAUGAACGCUGGCGGCGUGCCUAAUACAUGCGAGUCGAGCGAACAGACGAGGAGCUUGCUCCUCUGACGUUAGCGGCGGACGGGUGAGUAACACGUGGAUAACCUACCUAUAAGACUGGGAUAACUUCGGGAAACCGGAGCUAAUACCGGAUAAUAUAUUGAACCGCAUGGUUCAAUAGUGAAAGACGGUUUUGCUGUCACUUAUAGAUGGAUCCGCGCCGCAUUAGCUAGUUGGUAAGGUAACGGCUUACCAAGGCGACGAUGCGUAGCCGACCUGAGAGGGUGAUCGGCCACACUGGAACUGAGACACGGUCCAGACUCCUACGGGAGGCAGCAGUAGGGAAUCUUCCGCAAUGGGCGAAAGCCUGACGGAGCAACGCCGCGUGAGUGAUGAAGGUCUUCGGAUCGUAAAACUCUGUUAUUAGGAAAGAACAAAUGUGUAAGUAACUAUGCACGUCUUGACGGUACCUAAUCAGAAAGCCACGGCUAACUACGUG